GCGGGCGCCGUCAGUAACAAGGAUUCAUCCUGUUGUGAUGCUGCAGGCUGACAGGAUAUCGUUGUUACUGGGGGCGAGGCU
MicroRNA precursor from Gasterosteus aculeatus (three-spined stickleback), 81 nucleotides. It matches the Rfam family "mir-459 microRNA precursor family". NCBI's taxonomy places the organism in Eukaryota, Metazoa, Chordata, Actinopteri, Perciformes, Gasterosteidae. The record is from Rfam.